GAUGAAACGCUGGCGGCGUGCUUAACACAUGCAAGUCGAACGGGAAACAUUUUAUUGAAGCUUCGGCAGAUUUAGUUUGUUUCUAGUGGCGGACGGGUGAGUAACGCGUGGGUAACCUGCCUCACACUGGGGGAUAACAGUCAGAAAUGACUGCUAAUACCGCAUAAGCGCACGAGACCGCAUGGUUUUGUGUGAAAAACUCCGGUGGUGUGAGAUGGACCCGCGUCCAAUUAGCUAGUUGGUGAGGUAACGGCCCACCAAGGCGACGAUUGGUAGCCGGCCUGAGAGGGUGAACGGCCACAUUGGGACUGAGACACGGCCCAGACUCCUACGGGAGGCAGCAGUGGGGAAUAUUGCACAAUGGGGGAAACCCUGAUGCAGCGACGCCGCGUGAAGGAAGAAAGUAUCUCGGUAUGUAAAACUUCUAUCAGCAGGGAAGAUAGUGACGGUACCUGACCUAAGAAGCCCCGGCUAACUACGUGCCAGCAGCCGCCGCUGU
RNAcentral lists this ribosomal RNA (499 nucleotides) under uncultured bacterium. Its description in RNAcentral is "bacterial SSU rRNA". It matches the Rfam family "Bacterial small subunit ribosomal RNA", at positions 27 to 524 of the family's 1533-position model. The record is from RNAcentral.